Molecule: ribosomal RNA, 384 nt
Filed under: uncultured bacterium
Lineage: Bacteria
Description: bacterial SSU rRNA
Rfam family: Bacterial small subunit ribosomal RNA
Source: RNAcentral
GACGAACGCUGGCGGCGUGCUUAACACAUGCAAGUCGAGCGGUAAGGCCCUUUCGGGGGUACACGAGCGGCGAACGGGUGAGUAACACGUGGGUGACCUGCCCUUAGCUCUGGGAUAAGCCUGGGAAACUGGGUCUAAUACCGGAUAUGACUCCAUGACGCAUGUUGUGGGGUGGAAAGCCUUGUGCGGCUAGGGAUGGGCCCGCGGCCUAUCAGCUUGUUGGUGGGGUGAGGCCUACCAAGGCGACGACGGUAGCCGGCCUGAGAGGCGACCGGCCACACUGGGACUGAGACACGGCCCAGACUCCUACGGGAGGCAGCAGUGGGGAAUCUUGCGCAAUGGGCGAAAGCCUGGCGCAGCGACGCCGCGUGGGGAUGACGGCCU